Picea glauca (white spruce) is the source of this 121-nucleotide non-coding RNA. Lineage: Eukaryota; Viridiplantae; Streptophyta; Pinopsida; Pinales; Pinaceae. The record is from Rfam.
ACAUGCCUACAACAUAGCGUUAAUGCACUAUAUCCCAUUAUAACUCUGUAGUUAAACGCACUCAGGCUAGAGUAGUACUGGGAUGGGUUACUGCUCGGGAAGUCCUACUAUUUUACAUGUG